Molecule: long non-coding RNA, 366 nt
Filed under: Linum usitatissimum (flax)
Lineage: Eukaryota; Viridiplantae; Streptophyta; Magnoliopsida; Malpighiales; Linaceae
Description: long non-coding RNA (LUSI_LNC001544)
Source: RNAcentral
AUAGGCAUGAAAGCAGCACCUCUUCAAACAUAGUCAUUUCAUAAAACACCUGGUGCGCACAAAUUCCUAACCUAGCAGACCUUGCAUCUAAUCUAACAUCAAAACAACUACUAAAUCCAUAGAGACUUGACUUCCAUUCUUCUGUGUGCAUCAUUUAACAGCCAAUUACUACAGCCAAUAACAACAGACCGAAUUCCGUUAAGGCAGAAGAUAUGAAAGCACCACCUCUUCAAACACAAGGACCCCCAGAGACAUUUCAUCAAACACCUGGUGUACAACACACAAAUUCCCAACCUAGCAAAACCCUACGGUUAACAUCAAAGCCAUUUCAGCAUUCACACAAAAUAACACCAUCCACUGCACUUC